GAUGAACGCUGACAGAAUGCUUAACACAUGCAAGUCAACUUGAAUUUGGGUUUUUAACUUAGAUUUGGGUGGCGGACGGGUGAGUAACGCGUAAAGAACUUGCCUCACAGCUAGGGACAACAUUUAGAAAUGAAUGCUAAUACCUGAUAUUAUGAUUUUAAGGCAUCUUAGAAUUAUGAAAGCUAUAUGCACUGUGAGAGAGCUUUGCGUCCCAUUAGUUAGUUGGAGAGGUAACAGCUCACCAAGGCGAUGAUGGGUAGCCGGCCUGAGAGGGUGAACGGCCACAAGGGGACUGAGACACGGCCCUUACUCCUACGGGAGGCAGCAGUGGGGAAUAUUGGACAAUGGACCGAGAGUCUGAUCCAGCAAUUCUGUGUGCACGAUGAAGUUUUUCGGAAUGUAAAGUGCUUUCAGUUGGGAAGAAAUAAAUGACGGUACCAACAGAAGAAGUGACGGCUAAAUACGUGCCAGCAGCCGCGGUAAUACGUAUGUCACGAGCGUUAUCCGGAUUUAUUGGGCGUAAAGCGCGUCUAGGUGGUUAUGUAAGUCUGAUGUGAAAAUGCAGGGCUCAACUCUGUAUUGCGUUGGAAACUGUAUAACUAGAGUACUGGAGAGGUAAGCGGAACUACAAGUGUAGAGGUGAAAUUCGUAGAUAUUUGUAGGAAUGCCGAUGGGGAAGCCAGCUUACUGGACAGAUACUGACGCUAAGCGCGAAAGCGUGGGUAGCAAACAGG
Molecule: ribosomal RNA, 734 nt
Filed under: uncultured Fusobacterium sp.
Lineage: Bacteria; Fusobacteriati; Fusobacteriota; Fusobacteriia; Fusobacteriales; Fusobacteriaceae
Description: bacterial SSU rRNA
Rfam family: Bacterial small subunit ribosomal RNA
Source: RNAcentral